Molecule: ribosomal RNA, 250 nt
Filed under: uncultured archaeon
Lineage: Archaea
Description: partial 16S ribosomal RNA
Rfam family: Bacterial small subunit ribosomal RNA
Source: RNAcentral
UACGUAGGGAGCGAGCGUUGUCCGGAAUUACUGGGUGUAAAGGGAGUGUAGGCGGGAAAACAAGUCAGAUGUGAAAACUAUGGGCUCAACCUGUAGACUGCAUUUGAAACUAUUUUUCUUGAGUGAAGUAGAGGUAAGCGGAAUUCCUAGUGUAGCGGUGAAAUGCGUAGAUAUUAGGAGGAACAUCAGUGGCGAAGGCGGCUUACUGGGCUUUUACUGACGCUGAGGCUCGAAAGCGUGGGGAGCAAAC